RNAcentral lists this ribosomal RNA (305 nucleotides) under uncultured bacterium. RNAcentral's name for it is "bacterial SSU rRNA". It matches the Rfam family "Bacterial small subunit ribosomal RNA", at positions 332 to 655 of the family's 1533-position model. The record is from RNAcentral.
CUGAGCCUACGGGGCGCAGCAGUGGGGAAUAUUGCACAAUGGGGGAAACCCUGAUGCAGCGACGCCGCGUGAGUGAAGAAGUAUUUCGGUAUGUAAAGCUCUAUCAGCAGGGAAGAAAAUGACGGUACCUGACUAAGAAGCCCCGGCUAACUACGUGCCAGCAGCCGCGGUAAUACGUAGGGGGCAAGCGUUAUCCGGAUUUACUGGGUGUAAAGGGAGCGUAGACGGCAGCGCAAGUCUGAAGUGAAAUCCAAUGGCUUAACCAUGGAACUGCUUUGGAAACUGGUCAGCUGGAGUGAAGGAGA